RNAcentral lists this long non-coding RNA (260 nucleotides) under Homo sapiens (human). RNAcentral's name for it is "HSALNT0105775". The record is from RNAcentral. Lineage: Eukaryota; Metazoa; Chordata; Mammalia; Primates; Hominidae.
AGUGUUUAGUAUAUUGUGGGUGCUCCGUAAACAUUUUACUCAAUGGAUAAAUGAAAUGACGAUGAAAUCCUUGUUUAGAAUCCUGUGUUCAGCUCUUUGCUCUUCAACUGUAGACAUGCACAGAAGCAUAAAGGAUCUACCAUUUCAACAAUAUUCACUGCAUCUUCACCAGGAGUAGAUUCUAUCUCAAGAAUUCUAUCUUCACUUUCUUUGCUCAUCCAUAAGAAGCAACUCCUCAACCAUUAAAGUUUGCAGCAAUC